GUCGUUGUAGUAUAGUGGUAAG
RNAcentral lists this non-coding RNA (22 nucleotides) under Arabidopsis thaliana (thale cress). Lineage: Eukaryota; Viridiplantae; Streptophyta; Magnoliopsida; Brassicales; Brassicaceae. The record is from RNAcentral.